AGAAUCAACGCUGGCGGCGUGCCUAACACAUGCAAGUCGAACGAGAAAGUGGAGCAAUCCAUGAGUAAAGUGGCGCACGGGUGAGUAACACGUGACUAACCUACCCUUGAGUGGGGGAUAACCUAGAGAAAUCUGAGCUAAUACCGCAUAAUACCUUCGGGUCAAAGGAGCAAUUCGCUUAAGGAGGGGUCGCGGCCGAUUAGUUAGUUGGCGGGGUAAUGGCCCACCAAGACUAUGAUCGGUA
RNAcentral lists this ribosomal RNA (244 nucleotides) under uncultured bacterium. Its description in RNAcentral is "partial small subunit ribosomal RNA". It matches the Rfam family "Bacterial small subunit ribosomal RNA", at positions 26 to 285 of the family's 1533-position model. The record is from RNAcentral.